UGAGUACGAGAUGCUACGGCAUCGAAGCAGUCUGUGUCAUACUUCCAAGAAAAGCUUGCACUGUCAGAAACAGAUAAUGCCUGUACCAUAACCGACACAGGUGGGUAGGUAGAGUAUACUAAGGGGCGCGAGAUAACUCUCUCUAAGGAACUCGGCAAAAUGACUCCGUAACUUCGGGAGAAGGAGUGCCUUAUUUUUAAGGUUGCAAUAACAAGAUCCAAGCAACUGUUUACCAAAAACACAGGUCUCCGCUAAGUCGUAAGACGAUGUAUGGGGGCUGACGCCUGCCCAGUGCCAGAAGGUUAAAGAAGUCGGUUAGCAUUCGCGAAGCUGGUAACUGAAGCCCUGGUGAACGGCGGCCGUAACGAUAACGGUCCUAAGGUAGCGAAAUUCCUUGUCGGGUAAGUUCCGACCCGCACGAAAGGCGUAAUGAUUUGGAUACUGUCUCGGAGAGGGGCUCGGUGAAAUAGACUUGUCUGUGAAGAUGCGGACUACCUGCACCUGGACAGAAAGACCCUAUGAAGCUUUACUGUAACUUGAAAUUGAAAUUGGACUUUAUUUGCGCAGUAUAGGUGGGAGGCGUUGAAAAUAUUCUUGCGGGAAUAUUGGAGCCAUCAGUGAGAUACCACUCUUGUAAUGUUAGAUUUCUAACUUUAUAUCAUUAUCUGGUUAAAGAACAGUUUCAGGCGGGCAGUUUGACUGGGGCGGUCGCCUCCCAAAUGGUAGCGGAGGCGCACAAAGGUUUCCUCUGAACGGGUAGAAAUCGUAUCUAGAGUGUAAAGGCAUAAGGAAGCUUGACUGUGAGACCUACAAGUCGAGCAGGGACGAAAGUCGGUCUUAGUGAUCUGACGGUGCUGAGUGGAAAGGCCGUCACUCAACGGAUAAAAGUUACUCUAAGGAUAACAGGCUGAUCUCCCCCAAGAGUUCACGUCGACGGGGAGGUUUGGCACCUCGAUGUCGGCUCAUCGCAUCCUGGGGCGGUAGUACGUCCCAAGGGUUGGGCUGUUCGCCCAUGAAAGCGGUACGCGAGCUGGGUUCAGAACGUCGUGAGACAGUUCGGUCCAUAUCCGGUGUAGGCGUUAGAAUAUUGAGAGGAGCCUUCUUUAGUACGAGAGGACCGAGAAGGACAUACCUCUGGUGUACCAGUUAUCGUGCCAACGGUAAACGCUGGGUAGCUAUGUAUGGAGUGGAUAACCGCUGAAAGCAUCUAAGUGGGAAGCCCGCCUCAAGAUAAGUAUUCUCACC
This 1245-nucleotide ribosomal RNA is filed under the name metagenome. RNAcentral's name for it is "bacterial LSU rRNA". It matches the Rfam family "Bacterial large subunit ribosomal RNA", at positions 1564 to 2818 of the family's 2925-position model. The record is from RNAcentral.